UACGUAGGGUGCGAGCGUUGUCCGGAAUUACUGGGCGUAAAGCGCGCGUAGGCGGUCUGAUCAGCCGGUUGUGAAAGCCCCGGGCUCAACCUGGGAACGGCAUCCGGAACUGUCAGGCUAGAGUGCAGGAGAGGAAGGUAGAAUUCCCGGUGUAGCGGUGAAAUGCGUAGAGAUCGGGAGGAAUACCAGUGGCGAAGGCGGCCUUCUGGACUGACACUGACGCUGAGGUGCGAAAGCGUGGGUAGCAAACAGGAUUAGAUACCCUGGUA
RNAcentral lists this ribosomal RNA (269 nucleotides) under uncultured prokaryote. Its description in RNAcentral is "partial 16S ribosomal RNA". It matches the Rfam family "Bacterial small subunit ribosomal RNA", at positions 524 to 792 of the family's 1533-position model. The record is from RNAcentral.